This 660-nucleotide long non-coding RNA is filed under the name Heterocephalus glaber (naked mole-rat). RNAcentral describes it as "lncRNA (ENSHGLG00100052329.1)". Lineage: Eukaryota; Metazoa; Chordata; Mammalia; Rodentia; Bathyergidae. The record is from RNAcentral.
CUCCAACAAGGGGCUCAUUGUCCUGUACUCUCCCCUGACCCCAGCAAUCUUAUCAACUACGGACAAUUAACUGUGUCACAGGAAGAGAGGCUGAAGGUGACACUACAGACUUUGUCUCUGGCUGACAUCUAUUAUUUUGAGGCCCUCCAUGCAACUGUAUUACCUGAGAGGCUUUUUAACUGUGCGUAUCUGACAAACCCAAUAUGGCUGAGAUGGAGAAAGUUGAAAUUGAAGACAGAAAUGCAAGAGAAAAAUCAGCUGCCUCCAAAAGAAACAAAGGGAUGGAAGAAGGAAGCAGACAAGUGGAAAUGAGGCCAGUAGGCCCUGUCCAUUCUGCAAGCAUUGCUUUCUUAUUUUCCUUCUUUUCGCUGUUUGACUUUGUAAGAUGCCAAGGGUAGAUCAAGUUUAAACAUCCAUGUUCCCUUUUCACAUCAAAGAACGGUGAACUACUGACAACCAAGGCUAUGCCUGCCUCUCCCAUCUGCCUGCCUGGCUGGCAGAGAAAGAAAAUAACUCACACGCUGGUGAAGGAAGAAGCUGAGUAAGAUGACAAUGAAAUUAGGGGGGAAAUCCAAGCUGGUCCCCAGUGCCUUGUAGGGUGUAAAAUGUGGAUUAAUCAGAAUGCCAUUUAAAAAAUUCAAAUGAUCUUGAUUAUUGGAG